Long non-coding RNA from Oncorhynchus tshawytscha (Chinook salmon), 808 nucleotides. NCBI's taxonomy places the organism in Eukaryota, Metazoa, Chordata, Actinopteri, Salmoniformes, Salmonidae. The record is from Ensembl.
CCCUGCUCUGUCUCCUCCUGUCUGGUACAGGUACCCCCGCCACACUACGCCCUCUCUCCCUGCUCUGUCUCCUCCUGUCUGUUACAGGUACCCCCGCCACACUACGCCCUCUCUCCCUGCUCUGUCUCCCCCUGUCUGUUACAGGUACCCCCGCCACACUACGCCCUCUCUCCCUGCUCUGUCUCCCCCUGUCUGUUACAGGUACCCCCGCCACACUACGCCCUCUCUCCCUGCUCUGUCUCCUCCUGUCUGGUACAGGUACCCCCGCCACACUACGCCCUCUCUCCCUGCUCUGUCUCCCCCUUUCUGGUACAGGUACCCCGCCACACUCGCCCCUCUCUCCCUGCUCUGUCUCCCCCUUUCUGGUACAGGUACCCCCGCCACACUAUGCCCUCUCUCCCUGCUCUGUCUCCUCCUGUCUGGUACAGGUACCCCCGCCACACUACGCCCUCUCUCCCUGCUCCGUCUCCUCCUGUCUGGUACAGGUACCCCCGCCACACUACGCCCUCUCUCCCUGCUCCGUCUCCUCCUGUCUGGUACAGGUACCCCCGCCACACUACGCCCUCUCUCCCUGCUCCGUCUCCUCCUGUCUGGUACAGGUACCCCCGCCACACUACGCCCUCUCUCCCUGCUCUGUCUCCUCCUGUCUGGUACAGGUACCCCCGCCACACUACGCCCUCUCUCCCUGCUCUGUCUCCUCCUGUCUGGUACAGGUACCCCCGCCACACUACGCCCUCUCUCCCUGCUCUGUCUCCUCCUGUCUGGUACAGGUACCCCCGCCACACUACGCCCUCUCUCCCUGCUCUGU